This 253-nucleotide ribosomal RNA is filed under the name uncultured bacterium. RNAcentral's name for it is "partial 16S ribosomal RNA". It matches the Rfam family "Bacterial small subunit ribosomal RNA", at positions 524 to 776 of the family's 1533-position model. The record is from RNAcentral.
UACGAAGGGGGCGAGCGUUGUUCGGAAUUACUGGGCGUAAAGGGCGCGCAGGCGGCCUUAGAAGUCAGAUGUGAAAGCCCCGGGCUCAACCUGGGAAUGGCAUUUGAUACUCUGAGGCUGGAGUACGGGAGAGGAGAGUGGAAUUCCCAGUGUAGAGGUGAAAUUCGUAGAUAUUGGGAAGAACACCGGUGGCGAAGGCGGCUCUCUGGACCGUAACUGACGCUGAGGCACGAAGGCCAGGGGAGCGAACGGG